RNAcentral lists this ribosomal RNA (830 nucleotides) under uncultured bacterium. RNAcentral describes it as "bacterial SSU rRNA". It matches the Rfam family "Bacterial small subunit ribosomal RNA", at positions 19 to 902 of the family's 1533-position model. The record is from RNAcentral.
CUGGCUCAGGAUGAACGCUGGCGGUGUGCCUAACACAUGCAAGUCGAACGGGUUUAGACCCGUGGCAGACGGGUGAGUAAUGGCAAGGAACGUACCCAGACGACGAGGAUAAUCCGCCGAAAGGUGGAAUAAUACUCGAUAUCCCUCCGGGGGAAAGAUUUAUCGCGUCUGGAGCGGCCUUGCUCCCAUCAGCUAGUUGGUAGGGUAAUGGCCUACCAAGGCAACGACGGGUAGCCGACGUGAGAGCGUGAUCGGCCACAAUGGGACUGAGACACGGCCCAUACUCCUACGGGAGGCAGCAGUUGGGAAUAUUGGACAAUGGGCGAAAGCCUGAUCCAGCGACACCGCGUGGAGGAAGACGGCCUUCGGGUUGUAAACUCCUUUUAUUUGGGACGAUUAUGACGGUACCAAAUGAAUAAGCAGCGGCUAACUACGUGCCAGAAGCCUCGGUGAUACGUAGGCUGCAAGCGUUAUCCGGAAUUACUGGGCGUAAAGCGUUCAACGGUGGUUUUGUUCGUUCCGUGUUUAAUCUCCAGGCUUAACUUGGAGUCUGCACGGAAGACAGCAAGACUCGAGUCCUACAGGGGUCAGCGGAAUUGGCGGUGUAGCAGUGAAAUGCGUUGAUAUCGCCAAGAACACCGAUGGCGAAGGCAGCUGACUAGGUAGGUUCUGACACUCAAGAACGAAAGCGUGGGGAGCGAACAGGAUUAGAUACCCUGGUAGUCCACGCCGUAAACGAUGCAGACUAGCUAUUCGGAGUAUCGACCCUCUGUGUAGCGAAGCUAACGCGUGAAGUCUGCCGCCUGGGAGCACGGUCGCAGACUAAACUC